CUAACAAGCUGGGAUCUGUGGAGAGAAGAAUUUCACUGUGGGUGCUGGCUAAGCACGGAGAAGAGAGCGGCUGGGAGAGCACACUGGAUGUCAGUACUGUCAAGCCUUCAUUUCACCUGUCAGCACGGUGAAUGACGUACAAGCACUUGUUUGCCCUUCCUGUGGUCUUCUCUUGCGUGUCCUGACAGGCGCAGGCCUCCGGUGCGGCUCACUUCGUCUCCUGCUACAGUAGGUCUCUAUUCUACGGACGACAGCAGCUCUCCCGCCCCGCCGUAGAAUCCUUCCUGCCCCGGCCAGGUGACAGCAGGUGAGAAAAUAGCCGUGUUAUCAGACAAGAGACUGGAUGAGACCUGUCUACAAUGGGCCCACAUAU
Long non-coding RNA from Silurus meridionalis, 373 nucleotides. RefSeq lists it as uncharacterized. Lineage: Eukaryota; Metazoa; Chordata; Actinopteri; Siluriformes; Siluridae. The transcript has 3 exons. The record is from RefSeq and is a predicted model, not a curated record.